UCCAUAGCUCCCAGUCAGAUUUUGAACAUGGCUUGGAUCAAGUCGGUAAAAAACUGGUAAGACCAUCUGUUGUUUGGUCUCCAUGCACUCAAGAAUCUUGGAGAGUUCCCUCAAACAGAAAGUAGAAUCUGCAUAAUUUUCAGAGAAAAUGACUAGCGAAAUAAACGACUCCUCAAUCCUUUCCAAGAGGGCAGGCUCGAUCUUUUCUCCUCCAUCAAGUUUAUUAUCGAUGUAAGCAUCAAUUUGGUUUCGCUGCAAAGCAUCAUAAAGAUGACUGGUGAAACUAUUGCGGGUGUCUGUGCCUCUAAAACUGAGGAACACAUCAAGCUUCAAAUAUGGAGUAGUGGGAGAAGAAGUGGAAGCCAUAUUUUUAUAUGCUUGAUAUAUGUAGAAGUAAGCUUUCUACUUGUGAUAAUUUUUCCCUGUAACAAGCAAUAAGAAAACAAACGAUAUAAUUAGUCAAAGACUAGCUAGUUGAGAUCUUAAUUACACCUGAUAAAUAAAGAGAGAAGCUAGUUGGGAGAUUAUUUUAUAUCUCAUAAAUAAAGGCUAAAUAUGAUCAAACAAGAGUGUAUUAGAAUGAUCAGACAAUAAGAGAAGAUCAAAACAACUUAAACGAUGCUAUAGCAAAGAACGAACAGGAAGAAAUUCUACCAGUUAUUUAAGGGCUAGCCAACUCACAAUUAAGGGGGGGAGUUCACAUUGAUCCUCUCAUCAUCUUUAUUUCAAACACAGUAUUGGAGGGUUUCUUGGAAUCUAUAUAUCGGUAGGUACAAAUUCAGAAACAGUCCUUGACAACUCAAUAUCUCAUAAACCUUUCUUCAAAAAAGAUUUUCACAACCCAUUAAGUAAGCCACAAUUAGCCACGGAAAUUCCGGAAUCAUUUAAAGUUUGAUUUUUAAAGUGUUUAUUUAAAAAUAUAUUAAUAUAAUAUUUUUUUUAUUUUUUAAAAUUAUUUUGACAUAAUUCAAAAACACUAAACAAAUCUAAAUUUUAACAACACUAAACAAAUCCAAAUUUUAACAAAAAUUAACAAAAAUCAACCUCAAUUCCAAAAGAUUAGUCACCUAUCGUCUUUUCCUUUUUCUUUACUUAGCGGUGAGGAAAAGUUGAUAGUAGCAACUUUUCCUCACUAUCAACUUUUCCUCACCGCCAAGUAGCAAUCAUUUUUACAGGACGCUUGACUUGCUGUGUGCCCUUUUGAUUUUUGAACACAACCAAGCAGUAAUUUUCUGGUGGUGAUCUUCCGGAAUCUUUUUCCAAACAACCCUUUUUAGACCAUGAUUGAAGUUUCGACUGAAGAAUUUACUACUUUUCUCUUCACAUAUGAUUCACAGUUUUUAAUCCAGACUCGGUGUUCGAUCUGGAGCAAGGCCUGUGUGCCACCAAGGUUUAGUUUUUCACUGAAAAACUUGUUGAGAUGAUAGCUUCUAUUCUUUGCUCUUUCCUUUGUUAAAAUCAGUUUAUGGAACUGAUGCUUUGCAGGUGGCAGAGAGAGCAUUGUUCUUGUGGAACAGUGAUCCCAUUGAGAACUUGAUCACUCAAAAUCAGUUUUUAUUUCUUUUCUUUCACCUUUUCCAUUUUUCCUAAGCAGCAAGAAAGAGACCAAUUCCAAGUUAAAAUAGAUUUAAUGCUGCCACCUAACUGUUUAGAGGGAGAGAGAGGGAGAAGAACACAUUAUAAAAACAAAACCAUCAAACAUUUUUUUGGAAAACUUGCAAUAACUACUAAAAGUUUUGAUCAUACUAUUGCUAGAUCACAUUCCAUAGAGGACGGCAGGAUUACAGUUUGCAUGCAACUAUCUGUGUAUUCACCCAAUUCUGAAUUAAAAAAAGUAACAGUAAUAAAAAAUAAAGCAUUGAAUCAUGCAUGAUUGGACAAAUAUUUAAUUUAUAGUUGAUAGGUGGAUGGAUAAUCUGAGGUUUUGUUGAAGAAAUUUAGAAAGCAGAUUGAAAAUGUGAUCAAGGCUGAAUAAAUUAAAGAUUUGAGGACCAACAUGGACAAGGUUGUAAAGUUUAGCGGUCCAAUUUUGAUAGAUGCUUCAUUAAGAAGAAAGCUGAAGAUGGGGGCAAAUGGCUAAAAUCAAAGAAUCCAAGGACCUAAUUGUAUUUUGGAUGGGCUUAAUCAGGUGCUAAAAUGAAAGAGUAAUAAGGUUGGAAGUUAAUUUGGCUAAAAGUGGAAGAAUUAAUAAGUCUUAGGGACUUGUUUGAACAUUGGAUUAGUUUAAUUAAUACAAUGAGGGACUUAAUUAGAGUAAAAUAAAAGUUUGAGAGUCAAUUCGGUUAAUUGUGUUAAUCAAUUUACUUCUCAACUCGCCUUGUGCUGAUUAUAGAGAAAUAUCAAUUUUUUUUUAACCCCAUAAAUGUUUCCAGGUGGAGCUCUAAAUUCCUCAACUUCAGUUUCUAGACGAUGAAGCCGCAAAAGCAUAACAUAAAUAUUAUUUUUGUUAAAGCAAGCAAGGAAGAGGAAUAAACGAUGUAAACCUUGAUAGCUAUGCCUCAAACAUCUUAUAUGUGCAAGUGCAGGCUGAUUAUCUGAUAACAUCUCACCAAACUCAUUCAACAUUUAUCUGAUUAUCUGAUUAUCAGCAGCAUGAUACCGAAGCUGUAUACGUCUCCUCUAACUGAUACUUCAUUACUCUGUCCAUAUUCUGUUUACAAGCAACAAAGCACUGUUAGCAAAAUGAAAAAAAGAAAAUAAUCAUUUUGGUCAAAUGAUCUUAAUGCAGUGCAAGGUGAAUGAAACAUGCGAUCUUUCAUGCCGAAGAAUUUAGAGACUUGCUAGUCUUGAGCAACCACUAAGAUCAAGGUUUUCAAGAGAUUUCAACGCGCCAAUGUUGUCCGGUAGAUUUGCUAGUCCUGAGCAACCAUUAAGAUCAAGUAUUUUAGGGAUUUCAAUGCGCCAAUGUUGUCUGGUAGACUUGCUAGUCCUGAGCGACCACUAAGAUUAAGCGAUUUGAGAGAUUUCAACUCGUCAAUGCUGUCUGGUAGACUUGUUAGUCUUGAUAAAAGCGAUUUGAGAGAUUUCAACCCGCCAAUGCUGUUUGGUAGAUUUAUUAGUCCCGAGCAACCAUCAAGAUAAAGCCAUUGAAGAGAUUUCAACGCGCCAAUAUUGUCCGGUAGACUUGUUAGUCCAUAGCAACCAUUAAGAUAAAGCAUAGUAAAAGAUCUCAACCCGCCAAUGCUGUCCUGUAGACUUGCUAGUCCUGAGCAAGAAGAAAGACUAAGCUUUGCAAGAGAUCUUAACUCACCAAUGCUGUCCGGUAAACUUGCUAGUUUUGAGCAAGAAGAAAGACUAAGCUUUUCAAGAGAUCUCAACUCGUCAAUGCUGUCCAAUAGACUUGCUAGUUUUGAGCAAGAAGAAAUACCAAGCUCUGCAAGAGAUCUCAACUCUUCAAUGCUGUCCGGUAGACUUGCUAGUUUUGGAUAACGACCAAGAUUAAGCUUAGCAAGACAUUUCAACUUGCAAAUGCUAUUUGGAAGACUUGCUAGUUUUGAGCAAGAAUAAAGAUUAAGCUCUACAAGAGAUUUCAACUCAUCAAUGUUGUUGGUAGGCUAGCAAGACUUUCACAUGAAGAUAAGUUUAAUCUAACAAGUUGAGAGAGGUACCCAAUUGAUGAUGGAAAAGUACAGAAACUCUCGAAUCUGGGAAGCUCUAGUGGCUGUAAAUAAAAAAAAUUAAUGUAAGAAAAGAUAAAUGUUAUGAAUAAUUUCAAAAUUGUCCUAUAUUUGAAAAAGAAGGGUGAUAAAGCAUAUAUACCUUGCCUUCAUUCCAAAUUGUUCAAGCUGGCUACAAGGCAUUUCAAGUUGAAAAGGUUUCUCAGGGAAAAAUUUUGAUGGCAAGGAUUUCAAAGGGUAAUUAUACCAGUAGAGAAACCUUAGCUCACUUGAAAGAAAGUGAAGACCUCCUGGAAGGUGGAUUCCGACCCUCUUUCCAUUCAUAAUUUGCUCCUUCGAGGGAUUCUCUAAGAAAGAUGGGUAGUAGAUUUUGAGCAAUCUUAAAUUAUACAUCCCUUCAAAUGUUUCUUAAUGUCCAAAGAAACAUGCUAUAUCAAGAAAUAUUUUCUUUUUUUUCUGAUUUAAUUCAUGAUAACACAUUUCCAAAUGUUUCUUAAUGUCCUCGCUACCAUUUGUUCUUAGCUGUGCCACCUUACUUUCCCAGUAUUCAACACUCCUUUCAUUUGUAUAUCCUUCUAUGGGACGAUCUUUUUUAAAAGCAUGUAAGCUGAAGAGUCGAAGUGCAUCGUCUUCAUCUAAAAUUUUAACCUCGUAAAUUUUGUCUUCAUCACAUGCAUUUAUAAUUAAGCGCUUGCCUAUCUCUACUUGUCACCAUGAUUCUACUUCCUUGGCCAAACAAACCAUCCUCUCCUAGUAAAUAUUUUAAAUCUUGUGGAUCAUUGACAUCAUCAAGAACUAUGAGAACUUUUUUUCUUUGAAGCAUUCGCUUAAUGGCCGGGGGUAACACUUUUGUGCGUAUAGUCAUAUCUUUCUUCUCUAAUACUUCACCAAGAAUUUUCUGUCUUACAUGAUCUAUUCCAUGCUUCUGUGAUUCUUCCCUAACAUUUUGGAAAAAGCUUUGGCCUUCAAAUUUACUACAGUUUCGAUGAUACACAGCUUCAGCCGUUGUUGAUCCAAGGGAUAGUAAUGAUUCGAUGUCUUCAACGCGUGAUGCCAUUCCAACAAGGCGUUUUGAAUCAAAUGAGAAUGACAGCUCAUGGUUCAAUUUCUUUUGAAUGUCGGAAACGAUUUCUUUUGAAAUUUUAUCAUAACAUCAAACACAAUAUUGAUUCUCGAACAAAAUGGUUUAAAUAAGUUGGGGUUUAAUAUGCUGUAACUAAAUUAAUAACUUACUUAAUGACGUCUGAAUCCCAGCCCUUGAGAUUAGCUAUUUCUUUCAAAGCACGUCUCCAACUCUCUACUUCUUCAGAACUGCAAUCUCUUUCAUGCUUGCAAAGUGCAUCUCCAUAGCUCCCAGUCAGAUUUUGAACAUGGCUUGGAUCAAGUCGGUAAAAUACUGGUAAGACCAUCUGUUGUUUGGUCUCCAUGCACUCAAGAAUCUUGGAGAGUUCCCUCAAACAGAAGGUAGAAUCUGCAUAAUUUUCAGAGAAAAUGACUAGCGAAAUAAACGACUCUUCAAUCCUUUCCAAGAGGGCAGGCUCGAUC
RNAcentral lists this long non-coding RNA (5162 nucleotides) under Populus trichocarpa (black cottonwood). Its description in RNAcentral is "long non-coding RNA (PTRI_LNC001398)". Lineage: Eukaryota; Viridiplantae; Streptophyta; Magnoliopsida; Malpighiales; Salicaceae. The record is from RNAcentral.